RNAcentral lists this ribosomal RNA (459 nucleotides) under uncultured bacterium. RNAcentral's name for it is "partial 16S ribosomal RNA". It matches the Rfam family "Bacterial small subunit ribosomal RNA", at positions 338 to 795 of the family's 1533-position model. The record is from RNAcentral.
CCUACGGGAGGCAGCAGUGAGGAAUAUUGGUCAAUGGGCGCGAGCCUGAACCAGCCAAGUCGCGUGAGGGAUGACGGUCCUAUGGAUUGUAAACUUCUUUUGUCGGGGAGUAAAAGGUGCCACGUGUGGCGUUUUGUGAGUACCCGAUGAAAAAGCAUCGGCUAACUCCGUGCCAGCAGCCGCGGUAAUACGGAGGAUGCGAGCGUUAUCCGGAUUUAUUGGGUUUAAGGGGGGCGCAGGGGGAUGAUAAAGUCGGCGGUAAAGUUGGGGGACUCAACCUCAAAGAGCAGUUGAAACUGGUUGUCUUGAGUACAGGAGAGGUAUGCGGAAUGUGUGGUGUAGCGGUGAAAUGCAUAGAUAUCACGAAGAACUCCGAUUGCGAAGGCAGCAUACCGGCACUCAACUGACGCUGAGGCACGAAAGUGUGGGUAUCAAACAGGAUUAGAUACCCCAGUAGUC